GGAAGUUAAGAGACGAUUUCUUAAUUUUUAACUAAAAAAGCUAAGAACCGAUUUUUAAAUAAGGAUUUUAAGAACCGGUACUUAACUUUUUUAGUUAAAAAUUAAGAAACCGUUUUUUAAUUUCC
Molecule: non-coding RNA, 125 nt
Organism: Brassica napus (rape)
Lineage: Eukaryota; Viridiplantae; Streptophyta; Magnoliopsida; Brassicales; Brassicaceae
Source: Rfam